This 253-nucleotide ribosomal RNA is filed under the name uncultured bacterium. Its description in RNAcentral is "partial 16S ribosomal RNA". It matches the Rfam family "Bacterial small subunit ribosomal RNA", at positions 524 to 776 of the family's 1533-position model. The record is from RNAcentral.
UACGUAGGGUGCAAGCGUUGUCCGGAAUUAUUGGGCGUAAAGAGCUUGUAGGCGGCUUGUCACGUCGACUGUGAAAACCCGGGGCUCAACUCCGGGCCUGCAGUCGAUACUGGCUGGCUUGAGUGCGGUAGGGGAGACUGGAAUUCCUGGUGUAGCGGUGAAAUGCGCAGAUAUCAGGAGGAACACCGGUGGCGAAGGCGGCAUCCUGGACCGGUAUUGACGCUGAGGCGCGAAAGCCAGGGGAGCAAACGGG